AGCGAACGCUGGCGGCAUGCUUAACACAUGCAAGUCGCGCGGGUGGUUUCGGCCAUCAGCGGCGGACGGGUGAGUAUCGCGUAGGAAUGUAUCCCGAGGUGGGGGACAACCCUGGGGAACUGGGGCUAAUACCGCAUGGGGCCUGUGGGUCAAAGCCUUCGGGCGACUUGGGAGCAGCGUGCGUCCGAUUAGGUAGUUGGUGGGGUAAAGGCCUACCAAGGCUGCGAUCGGUAGCUGGUCUGCGAGGACGAGCAGCCACACUGGGGCUGGGACACGGCCCGGACUCCUACGGGAGGGAGCAGAGGGGGAUAUUGGACAAUGGGCGCAGGCCUGAACCAGCAAUGCCGCGUGGGUGAAGAAGGUCGUCGGAUUGUAAAGCCCUUUAGGCGGGGACGAUGAUGACGGUACCCGCAGAAGAAGCCCCGGCUAACUUCGUG
This 437-nucleotide ribosomal RNA is filed under the name uncultured bacterium. Its description in RNAcentral is "partial 16S ribosomal RNA". It matches the Rfam family "Bacterial small subunit ribosomal RNA", at positions 30 to 507 of the family's 1533-position model. The record is from RNAcentral.